CUUAUGGAAUAAAAGGGAAUCAUGACAUGUCACACAUGUCAUGUGUCUUUAAGGAGUUAAAGGAGCUACAUAUUUCAUUGCUGGUUAUUGAAGUUAUAGUGAACCAGUCAAACUUAUCAAGAGCUUUGUGAAAUGCCUGUCUUUAUUGUGUUUGAUGAGGAAUUCGGGUUAGAUGAGGAAAAAUGUAUCUAAGCAAAAUUC
Molecule: non-coding RNA, 201 nt
Organism: Pelobates cultripes (western spadefoot toad)
Lineage: Eukaryota; Metazoa; Chordata; Amphibia; Anura; Pelobatidae
Source: the annotation of a GenBank genome assembly